UGGGGCAUGAAGGUAGUGCUCUAAAGAUUAAAGUAGACCUAAUCUCAUUAGUCAUAACAUUACAUUAUUAUUUAUUUUUCCCAAGCUGUUAUUAUUAUUUUUUCAUUCUUGAGGAGAAUACAUCUAUCAUCUAUGUAAUGUGUGUCUCUUCGGCGUUACCUGAUAUCUCCAGAAAAGGCAGGAAUAUGCCACCAGUAUAUGAAAAAUUAAGAAAUUCAUCAGAAGGGUGCGGUAAAAAAUAUUUACACUUUGUUUUUGCUAAAUAAAUCAAGGGUUUUGUAAAUGCGGUAAAAUUGUUCGGAUCAAAUACUAAAAAUAUACAAAAAAUAAAAUUGAUAAGUGUCUUAAAAGUCAAGAAAAUGCCAUCUGAACUUGACCAACGAAUUUUGGUUAGUACACUUUUGAACGCUGACAGGAAACCAACGAAGUACAUGUUUUUACCUUGGGUCCUGACCAGCUACCCG
RNAcentral lists this long non-coding RNA (464 nucleotides) under Lepeophtheirus salmonis (salmon louse). RNAcentral's name for it is "uncharacterized LOC121129900". Lineage: Eukaryota; Metazoa; Arthropoda; Copepoda; Siphonostomatoida; Caligidae. The record is from RNAcentral.